AGUCUUCAUAUCAGUAUGCUUUCACAUCAUUUGAUCAUAAUAUUACCAUUUAUCCAUCUGAGCCUGAAGAAGAUGUCUGUCUAGAUGGCACUUGUUUACUGAAAGACUAUGCAGAUUCUGUGGGGCAAGAUGAAGAAACAGAAGAAACAUUAAUGGACAGUCUUCAUUCUAGUGGUACUAUACCUGGCAAAAGAGAAAAUGACCAUGAACAGCCUCUGGGAAACCUAUCCCUGUGGGAAGAAGACUCUGAGUCUACUGAAGUUUUAGAUAAAGAGAAAUCAGUGUACAGCUCUGUAGAAAAGCAUGUUGAAUGGCAAAAUAAAGCUCAGCUGGUACAAGCCUCUCCACUUUCUACAAGCCCUUCAGGUGAAUUCAUUAAUGAUAAAGAAAGUACUAAUUAUGCAUCUACAGAAAGCAUCCCAAAACAAUGUUCAGUUUUACAGUCAAAUGUUCACCCACCUUAUGCAGAGUCUGAGGUAACAAAUAAAAGGAGACAGUCUGUACUGACUGACCCUCCAGUGAUAACUGGAGAAGUAGAAGGAAGACUUGUCCACGGCAACACUACAUUGAUACCUGAAUGUUUUGGCUCUGCAGUGAAGAAAGAACCUAACCUUACCUGCAGUAUACAAGAAAAAUCCUUGCUGUCAUCCUUGUUGUUAGAUCACAAAGAGAAUGACAUGAAUAAAACAUUGGAAAGCCUUUCUGAGGUACAGGAUGUAUCUGGAGAUGUUCUUGUUGAAUCUGAUUGCCAUAAUAACUCAGCACAGGUCUCCAUAUUAUCUACCUCUUCCGUAUGCACAGAAAAGAAAGAGAAUUUCACAGAACAUUUAAACAUUAAGCAAAGACUGGAGAACUUUUGCAGUAAACAGUUGCUUGAUGACAGUUUAAGGAGAGAGCCUGGAGCAAAUCAACUACCUCUGUUAGUCAAGUCCAACUUUGAAGAAAUUGAAUCAAAUUUUGAAAUGAAAGAAGAUUAUUAUGAGACUGAUGAUAUCUCAUCAGUAAAACAUAUUAGUCAGAAAGGUAGGUGUUACAAGACUUCUCAAGUUAAUAUCACACAUCUUUUGCAUAGGAGCUUUUAUGACAUCUGUUUUCUAGGAAAAUAAAUGUAUAUUAAAAGUUUGCAAUGAUGUUGUUAUGGUAUAUGUUUGGCCAUGGGGUUAUAAUAUGCAGUUAUUCUGCUGAGGAUUCUAGGAACCAUCUUGCAGAGCCAAGAAAUCUAAAUUUAAAAAGAAAAGAAUUAAUGCAUCUUUGAUCAAGAAGCAGUUUUCCUACAUUAAACUGCCCACCCAUCCUAUACAGCUAGAGAGAGAAGAAUAUAUCAUUGCGGGAAGUAACAGUAAAAGUAGUUGCCAUGUGAUAUGAACUCAGAGCACAAGUCUGUGUUUAAAACCCAGAAAUCUGGAUUUCAAGUCCAUGUGAUAAAUAUGAAUAUAUAUAUGAAUACAUCUUGGUCUUAAUUCUGGCUGAACAUUUUCAUGGAAUGACCAUAAAGAAUCCUUUAACCUUCUUUUCUCCUCUCUUUAAUGUGUUUGAAGAAAUGGCAUACAAAAAAGGCUUAUUUUUAAUAGCUAAUAUUUUACAAAUUUCUUGUCUUACUUUUUGUAAUCCAUCUACUCAUAUCCAUAACUGGUCUUUUAAAAUGAAUGUUUUGAAGUAUAAAAAUUUUAAGCCAUCCUGGGACAUUGCACACUACAAAGUGAGCCUUUUACAUUAUUAAUAGGUACGCACAUAUGUGUGUGUGUGUUGUUAAAAUAUCACUCUGAACACUUUAAUUUUAUUUUUUAAUAUUAAUCAAGUUAUAUGCAAAUAUAUCUCAAAUUUACCUCUCUAGAAAAUGAUCUUUCCAGCAGAUUUGGAGGUUAAGAGGUUUAUAUAAUUGAAAAAUAUAUAUUUUCUUAUGGGAAAUGUCUUAUAUAAUCCUAGUUCAAAGCAGCUGAAGUUUUUAAAAAAUCUUUUAGUUCACCAUACCUGCAGAAAGACUGGUAUGGCCUCCAUGGCUGUCUUGUUUGGCAUUGGUAAUGGAAAUUUUAAAAAAUACCGGAAGUAUUUUAUACACUAUAUAGAUAUACUACAUAGAUUGAUAUUGCUAUAUAGACCAAUGUCUCCACAUAAAUAUCUCAAUACCAAGUAUCUCAAUAUCUCAGUAUCACUAUGUAAAAUAGAGAAUGGAUGAAAUGGAACUCUCUAUAGAACAAGGUAAUGAAUUAAGAUACUAAAGGAAAACUGUAUGCGAAAAUCAUUGACUUCUCAGACAUUAAACCUAAAUGGUUAAGGACACAGCACAGAAGUGAGAUAUAGCUAUAUUUUUCAUUUUUAUUUUAUUUUCUCUUGUUUUAUUCUCUCUUUCCUUUUGCCCCUUGCCAAGAAUUAUCUACAUGUGUUCUUUCUCAUGCCUGUCAUCUCGAUUUGGCCCUCCUUUGGUCCAAAGUCAUAUUUUGAUUUUCCUUCAUUCCUAGCAAUGCUGAGGAGGUCC
This is a long non-coding RNA of Taeniopygia guttata (zebra finch), 2476 nucleotides long. The record is from Ensembl. Lineage: Eukaryota; Metazoa; Chordata; Aves; Passeriformes; Estrildidae.